This is a non-coding RNA of Triticum aestivum (bread wheat), 115 nucleotides long. The record is from Rfam. NCBI's taxonomy places the organism in Eukaryota, Viridiplantae, Streptophyta, Magnoliopsida, Poales, Poaceae.
CAAGUACUCCCUCCUUCCGGAAUUACUUGUCAUCAAAAUGGAUGUGUCUAGAACUAAAAUACAUCUAGAUACAUCCAUUUCAAUGACAAGUAUUUUCGGACAGAGGGAGUACAAG